RNAcentral lists this small RNA (94 nucleotides) under Pluralibacter gergoviae. Its description in RNAcentral is "Hfq binding sRNA". It matches the Rfam family "STnc490 Hfq binding RNA", at positions 30 to 124 of the family's 124-position model. Lineage: Bacteria; Pseudomonadati; Pseudomonadota; Gammaproteobacteria; Enterobacterales; Enterobacteriaceae. The record is from RNAcentral.
AGCUUUCAGCUUUGAGCCAGUUAUAAAAACCCCUUUUGAUUUGUUAAAACAGAUUGCGGUCUGGCAACUGCAACGUUUAACAAGAAAUCAAAAG